CCUACGGGAGGCAGCAGUGAGGAAUAUUGGUCAAUGGCCGCAAGGCUGAACCAGCCAAGUCGCGUGAGGGAUGACGGUCCUAUGGAUUGUAAACCUCUUUUGUCAGGGAGCAAAGGGCGCCACGUGUGGCGCUUUGCGAGUACCUGAAGAAAAAGCAUCGGCUAACUCCGUGCCAGCAGCCGCGGUAAUACGGAGGAUGCGAGCGUUAUCCGGAUUUAUUGGGUUUAAAGGGUGCGCAGGCGGAAUGUAAAGUCAGCGGUAAAAUUUCGGGGCUCAACCCCGUCGUGCCGUUGAAACUGGGGUUCUUGAGUGAGCGAGAAGUAUGCGGAAUGCGUGGUGUAGCGGUGAAAUGCAUAGAUAUCACGCAGAACCCCGAUUGCGAAGGCAGCAUACCGGCGCUCAACUGACGCUGAUGCACGAAAGCGUGGGUAUCGAACAGGAUUAGAUACCCCUGUAGUC
RNAcentral lists this ribosomal RNA (459 nucleotides) under uncultured bacterium. RNAcentral describes it as "partial 16S ribosomal RNA". It matches the Rfam family "Bacterial small subunit ribosomal RNA", at positions 338 to 795 of the family's 1533-position model. The record is from RNAcentral.